GCAGCAUCUCUUCGUGCUCUACCUGAUCCUGAUCCCUGGUUUUCAAUACUCAUAGGUUCUGAGUUGGAAGCAAUAGGUACACUAAGUUCGCCACCAUUGGUUUUAUGCCUCUCAUAAUCAAGGAGAGCCUUCUCAUAAAAUCCUCGAAAUGUCCACGAAACUGUUGUGCAUGUCUUUGGGGGCUUGAAAGACUCUCCUACUUGCCUCCACAACUUGCAUGAAGUCACCU
This 229-nucleotide unclassified non-coding RNA is filed under the name Hevea brasiliensis (rubber tree). The record is from RNAcentral. Lineage: Eukaryota; Viridiplantae; Streptophyta; Magnoliopsida; Malpighiales; Euphorbiaceae.